RNAcentral lists this ribosomal RNA (737 nucleotides) under Candidatus Synechococcus spongiarum. RNAcentral's name for it is "bacterial SSU rRNA". It matches the Rfam family "Bacterial small subunit ribosomal RNA", at positions 796 to 1533 of the family's 1533-position model. Lineage: Bacteria; Bacillati; Cyanobacteriota; Cyanophyceae; Synechococcales; Synechococcaceae. The record is from RNAcentral.
CUGGCCGCAAACGAUGAACACUAGAUGUUGGGGGAAUCGACCCCCUCGGUGUCGUAGCUAACGCGUUAAGUGUUCCGCCUGGGGAGUACGCACGCAAGUGUGAAACUCAAAGGAAUUGACGGGGGCCCGCACAAGCGGUGGAGUAUGUGGUUUAAUUCGAUGCAACGCGAAGAACCUUACCAAGGCUUGACAUCCUGCGAAUCUCCAAGAAAUUGGAGAGUGCCUUUUGGAACGCAGUGACAGGUGGUGCAUGGCUGUCGUCAGCUCGUGUCGUGAGAUGUUGGGUUAAGUCCCGCAACGAGCGCAACCCACGUUUUUAGUUGCCAGCAUUCAGUUGGGCACUCUAGAAAGACUGCCGGUGACAAACCGGAGGAAGGUGUGGACGACGUCAAGUCAUCAUGCCCCUUACGCCUUGGGCUACACACGUACUACAAUGCUGCGGACAAAGAGUAGCGAUCUUGCGAAAGUUAGCUAAUCUCGUAAACCGUGGCUCAGUUCAGAUCGUAGGCUGCAACUCGCCUACGUGAAGGAGGAAUCGCUAGUAAUCGCAGGUCAGCAUACUGCGGUGAAUACGUUCCCGGGCCUUGUACACACCGCCCGUCACACCAUGGAAGUUGGCCAUGCCCGAAGUCGUUACUCUAACCUUUUGGAAGAGGGCGCCGAAGGCAGGGCUAAUGACUGGGGUGAAGUCGUAACAAGGUAGCCGUAGCGGAAGCUGCGGCUGGAUCACCUCCUAA